RNAcentral lists this non-coding RNA (25 nucleotides) under Drosophila melanogaster (fruit fly). The record is from RNAcentral. Lineage: Eukaryota; Metazoa; Arthropoda; Insecta; Diptera; Drosophilidae. RNAcentral also lists the same sequence under 7 other names.
CCCGGAUAGCUCAGUCGGUAGAGCA